UAGUGCAAUUUGAAAAGGGCAU
This 22-nucleotide microRNA is filed under the name Eptatretus burgeri (inshore hagfish). Its description in RNAcentral is "Ebu-Mir-130-P1g_3p (mature (guide))". The record is from RNAcentral. Lineage: Eukaryota; Metazoa; Chordata; Myxini; Myxiniformes; Myxinidae.